GCGCUAUUGGAGCGGCCGAUGUCAGAUUAGGUUGUUGGUGGGGUAAAGGCUCACCAAGCCGACGAUCUGUAGCUGGUCUGAGAGGACGACCAGCCACACUGGGACUGAGACACGGCCCAG
RNAcentral lists this ribosomal RNA (120 nucleotides) under uncultured bacterium. Its description in RNAcentral is "partial 16S ribosomal RNA". It matches the Rfam family "Bacterial small subunit ribosomal RNA", at positions 215 to 334 of the family's 1533-position model. The record is from RNAcentral.